This 1534-nucleotide long non-coding RNA is filed under the name Homo sapiens (human). Its description in RNAcentral is "novel transcript". The record is from RNAcentral. Lineage: Eukaryota; Metazoa; Chordata; Mammalia; Primates; Hominidae.
GGCUCUGCGCGGGACUGCAGGUUCUGCCCCGCAUCGGAGUGAUCGCUGAGCCUGACGCUCUCGAAGGCUGGGCCUGGGGCCCGCAAUCUACUCCGGAGGCUUUCCCACUGGGCAGGGUCGCUAGCAGGGACCCCACUGGAAAUCGGACUGUUCAACUCACCUGGCAUCCACUCCCAGAGCCCCUGGAACUCUGGCCCAAGGCUCUCUGACUGACUUCUUCCCAGAUCUUCUCGGCUUAGCAGCUGAAGACUGACGCUGCCCGAUUGCCUCAGAAGCCCCGUAGACCAUCAUGGACGCCGAGCUUUAGCAACAAAGCACCAUCUUGGAAGCAGAGAGCCACCCUCACCAGAACUGAAUGCAGGCACCGUGACCUUGAACUUCCCAGCCUCCAGAACUUGCUGCCAGGACCUGCAGAACUCCAGAUGGAUUCCCCUGGCUGACACUUGAAAGAUUUUUGCUCUAACUUAAUAGAAAUGACAGACUGGCAAAGCCAUAGUUAAAUCAGCUGGAGGAGCCACAAAUCAAAUCAUCUUUACAGAAAGAUGUGAGUGCACAUGGAAAUUUAUGGAGUCUCUCAGCAUUGUAGAAGAGCCUCUGUUUCUUCUCACUGGUUCCUGUCCUCCUCAGCUUGGUAUAUAACUCCUGAGGGCUGAAUACCUGGUUGCUGAAGGAUCCAGUCCCUGCCCUAUAACCGAGGAAGAAUUUCUACUUCCCCUUCCUGUCCAGAAGUGAUAUUCCCAGAUGAAGUGAGAAAUUAUAUGCUCUCUGGGAAAUGGCUAUCUGCAAAGACUUGUGGCAUUCUACUUUCUGGAUAUAUUGCCUUAUGUCUGGCAAACUGUACUGAUUAAAACUUUGAACAGAAGAAGGAAAAACUAAUUUGGAAGGGCUAAUCAAGACUCUCCAUAGUCCAAAAGGGAUGAUUUCUCAGUUGUGCAGAGAACCAAUAAACCUCCAUCCUGAGGACAAAAGUAAUUUUGUGAAACUGCAUGAAGUUUCUCUAGAGAGAGAGACUUCACAAAGCCCAGUGGUCACAGCUGUGCAGUGGAACCGAACUACUUUGAAUCUCUGCCAUCAAAGGAAAGAAUCUCAGGAUUUUCUGCUACAGAAGCAUGAUCGUGUUUAAAUUCUUAAAAUGCUGCAUUAGCAAGAAUUCUCCACAGAAACAGACUCUCUCUCUAGAGUUGAGAGAGAGAGAGAGUUAAUAUAGGAAUUGGCUCAUGGGACAAUGGAGGCCAAGAAGUUCCAGAAUCUGAUGUCUGCAAGCCAGCAAACAAAGCCAAUAAUGUAAUUUAGUCUGAGUUCAAAGGCCCAAGAAUGGAGGUACUGAUGGUAUAAUUCCUGAUCUGAGUCUAAAGGCCCAAGAACCAGGAACACUCAUGUUAACAGAAAAUGAAUAGGCCAGGUGCAGUGGCUCACACCUGUAAUCCCAGCACUUUGGGUGGCUGAGGCCGGCAGAUCCAUCGAGGUCAGGAGUUUGAGACCAGCCUGACCAACAUGGUGAAACCCUGUCUCUACUAAAAAUACAAAAAUUAGC